UUGUUAUCCUUCCUUUGUCAAAAUAAACAUGGAAAAGGGGAGAACUCCUUUAGGCUCCACUUCUCCAGAGGGAACCCCAAAGAGAUAGGUUGGCCUUUCUGGCUGCAGAUGUCUGUAAUCACAGCUUCUCAUCUCAUCAUCAAUGACUAAAAGCACUUUACAUGCUGCCCUGUCUGGAAAUACCUUCCAAUGCCUUAGCUUGAGUGAAAGGUGGGUAAACUGCCUCGAUGCAAGAAGUUGCUAUUAUCAUUUCCACAUCCUUGCCACUGGAUUCCCAUAUCUGUUGCCACCCAAGCUUCAAGGUCAAGGCUUCCUCUGGCAUGACAUGAGCCUAGUGCUUGCACCAGCUGCUUUUAAUGAAGCAGACAGGUCUCAUCUGGGUAUUGUUGACACGAUCUCCCAAAAUGCUUGACAGGCAAAGCAAACAAGUUAAGUGGAGCUAGCUCCUGGGGCUAAUGAGCAAUCAUCACUGCCAUCGUUAGGGUCCUCUUUCCAGGGAAGAAGACUCCCAGCCUUUACAACUCCUGUGUCGCUGGAGCAGCCAGAUUGCCAAAGAAAUCCCUUCAGCCACAGAUCCCACAGGGAGUGCCUGGGGAAAGGAAAAGGAGGGUCAUUUUCAGCUGAGCCCUGAUGGGAAUCAAGCAUUUACAUCUUAGGCCAUUGAGCAGCAAGUCAUAACUCAUCACUGUGUGGUGGCAGCUGCGUGAUCAAGCUCCAAUGGAUCAAACUUUCUGUGGCUUUGGGACUGCAGUGCUGGAGCCUGAAGCUGGCCUCAUGGAUAUCAGCUGAUGUUUUCCUGCUGAAGACUUACUGCAUGAGUCAUCUUAUCAUCUAGGAAGUAGACACAUUGUUAUAAGGAGCCUUGCCAGUGAUGUUAACCCCAAUCUACUAAAGAAAUGAGAGCCAUCAGCCAAACCACAAAAGUACCUCACCACUGCCUCAAACUAUGGCUUCCUCCACUAAGGGUAAUAUGAGAUGUACACCCAGUAUAGGUAGACACAAAUCAUCUCUUAGAACUAACUCUUAAAGCAAUCACUGAAAUACUGUUUAUUUUUCUAAAGAACCACAUUGAGUAGUUCUGCCACCUAAACUUCCCUGCCAAUUUGCUGGCAUCAACAGCACCCAGCACAGUAUUGCUCAAUGACUGCAUGUCUUUGGCUCUUAUGCUCUGCUGUAACAAACUGUGGAAAUGCAAAGGCGAUAACAGGCAUCGCUGCAUACCAGUUA
Long non-coding RNA from Pogoniulus pusillus (Red-fronted tinkerbird), 1227 nucleotides. RefSeq lists it as uncharacterized. The transcript has 4 exons. The record is from RefSeq and is a predicted model, not a curated record. Lineage: Eukaryota; Metazoa; Chordata; Aves; Piciformes; Lybiidae.